CCAGACUGUUCCAGAAACAGCCUGGGGAUUCUGAAUGUUUCCCAGAGAAUCAUUAGGAAUUAUCCCAGCGGCGCUGGAGUCAACAACGGUUCCGGCCUCAGGGAUGAGUGCAUCACAAACCUACUGGUGUUUGGCUUCCUCCAAAGCUGCUCUGACAACAGCUUCCGCAGAGAGCUGGAUGCACUGGGCCACGAGCUGCCAGUGCUGGCUCCCCAGUGGGAGGGCUACGAUGAGCUGCAGACUGACGGCAACCGCAGCAGCCACUCCCGCUUGGGAAGAAUAGAGGCAGAUUCUGAAAGUCAAGAAGACAUCAUCCGGAAUAUUGCCAGG
RNAcentral lists this small RNA (330 nucleotides) under Pan troglodytes (chimpanzee). Its description in RNAcentral is "processed transcript". Lineage: Eukaryota; Metazoa; Chordata; Mammalia; Primates; Hominidae. The record is from RNAcentral.